RNAcentral lists this ribosomal RNA (420 nucleotides) under bacterium enrichment culture clone ALO1_GLFRUDD03G0BMB. RNAcentral's name for it is "bacterial SSU rRNA". It matches the Rfam family "Bacterial small subunit ribosomal RNA", at positions 9 to 431 of the family's 1533-position model. The record is from RNAcentral.
GAGUUUGAUCGUGGCUCAGAUUGAACGCUGGCGGCAUGCCUUACACAUGCAAGUCGAACGGCAGCACGGGAGCUUGCUCCUGGUGGCGAGUGGCGAACGGGUGAGUAAUGCAUCGGAACGUAUCCUGGAGUGGGGGAUAACGUAGCGAAGGUUACGCUAAUACCGCAUAUUCUGUGAGCAGGAAAGCGGGGGACCUUCGGGCCUCGCGCUCUUGGAGCGGCCGAUGUCGGAUUAGCUAGUUGGUGAGGUAAAGGCUCACCAAGGCGACGAUCCGUAGCAGGUCUGAGAGGAUGAUCUGCCACACUGGAACUGAGACACGGUCCAGACUCCUACGGGAGGCAGCAGUGGGAAUUUUGGACAAUGGGGGCAACCCUGAUCCAGCCAUGCCGCGUGAGUGAAGAAGGCCUCGGUUGUAAGUAC